AUCUAGCUGACAAGUCUUAAAUAGGAUGAAACGCACGUCGUGGAU
This 45-nucleotide non-coding RNA is filed under the name Schistosoma curassoni. The record is from RNAcentral. Lineage: Eukaryota; Metazoa; Platyhelminthes; Trematoda; Strigeidida; Schistosomatidae.